UGCCUCAGUAACUGCGAGUGAAGCGGCAAAAGCUCAAAUUUGAAAUCUGGCCCGUCUCCGGCGGCCCGAGUUGUAAUUUGGAGGGGCAUCUUCAGGGGUGGGCGCCGUCCUAAGUUCCUUGGAACAGGACGUCACAGAGGGUGAGAAUCCCGUGCCUGGGCGGCUGUCCCGCUCCAUGUGAAGUGUCUCCGACGAGUCGAGUUGUUUGGGAAUGCAGCUCAAAAUGGGUGGUAAAUUUCAUCUAAAGCUAAAUAUUGGCGAGAGACCGAUAGCGCACAAGUAGAGUGAUCGAAAGAUGAAAAGCACUUUGAAAAGAGAGUUAAAAAGUACGUGAAAUUGUUGAAAGGGAAGCGCUUGAGAUCAGACUCGUCGGACGGCAACCAUCGGUGCUUCUGUGCCGUGCACUUGCCGACCGACGGGCCAGCAUCGGUUCCGGCGGCGGGAAAAAGGCCCGGGCAAUGUGGCUCUCUUCGGGGAGUGUUAUAGGCCCGGGCGUCAUACCGCCUGCUGGGACCGAGGACCGCGCUUCGGCUAGGAUGCUGGCGUAAUGGUCUUAAGCGACCCGUCUUGAAACACGGACCAAGGAGUCUAACAUCUAUGCGAGUGUUCGGGUGGAAAACCCCUGCGCGUAAUGAAAGUGAACGGAGGUGGGAACCCCUCGGGGUGCACCAUCGACCGAUCCUGAUGUCUUCGGAAGGAUUUGAGUAGGAGCAUAGCUGUUGGGACCCGAAAGAUGGUGAACUAUGCCUGAAUAGGGUGAAGCCAGAGGAAACUCUGGUGGAGGCUCGCAGCGGUUCUGACGUGCAAAUCGAUCGUCAAAUUUGGGUAUAGGGGCGAAAGACUAAUCGAACCAUCUAGUA
RNAcentral lists this ribosomal RNA (860 nucleotides) under Smardaea ovalispora. RNAcentral describes it as "partial large subunit ribosomal RNA". It matches the Rfam family "Eukaryotic large subunit ribosomal RNA", at positions 76 to 949 of the family's 3401-position model. The record is from RNAcentral. Lineage: Eukaryota; Fungi; Ascomycota; Pezizomycetes; Pezizales; Pyronemataceae.